GAGUUUGAUCCUGGCUCAGGACGAACGCUGGAGGCGGGCCUAAUACAUGCAAGUGGAACGCACGAGGUACACCGUAUUUAACUACACCGUACUUUGUGAGUCGCGAACGGGUGAGUAACGCGUAGGUAACCUACCUUUUAGCGGGGGAUAACUAUUGGAAACGAUAGCUAAUACCGCAUAAGAUAUCUUACUGCAUGGUAAGAUAUUAAAAGAUGCAAUUGCAUCACUAAGAGAUGGACCUGCGUUGUAUUAGCUAGUAGGUGAGGUAACGGCUCACCUAGGCAACGAUACAUAGCCGACCUGAGAGGGUGAUCGGCCACGCUGGGACUGAGACACGGCCCAGACUCCUACGGGAGGCAGCAGUAGGGAAUCUUCGGCAAUGGGGGGAACCCUGACCGAGCAACGCCGCGUGAGUGAAGAAGGUUUUCGGAUCGUAAAGCUCUGUUGUAAGAGAAGAACGAGUGUGAGAGUGGAAAGUUCACACUGUGACGGUAACUUACCAGAAAGGGACGGCUAACUACGUGCCAGCAGCCGCGGUAAUACGUAGGUCCCGAGCGUUGUCCGGAUUUAUUGGGCGUAAAGCGAGCGCAGGCGGUUAGAUAAGUCUGAAGUUAAAGGCUGUGGCUUAACCAUAGUACGCUUUGGAAACUGUUUAACUUGAGUGCAGAAGGGGAGAGUGGAAUUCCAUGUGUAGCGGUGAAAUGCGUAUAUAUAUGGAGGAACACCGGUGG
RNAcentral lists this ribosomal RNA (731 nucleotides) under uncultured bacterium. RNAcentral's name for it is "bacterial SSU rRNA". It matches the Rfam family "Bacterial small subunit ribosomal RNA", at positions 9 to 715 of the family's 1533-position model. The record is from RNAcentral.